GAUGAACGCUGGCGGCGUGCCUAAUACAUGCAAGUCGAGCGAGAUGUUAGCGCAUGAACCUUCGGGGGAUUAUGCUAACGGACAGCGGCGGACGGGUGAGUAACGCGUAGGCAACCUGCCCCUGACAGAGGGAUAGCCAUUGGAAACGAUGAUUAAAACCUCAUGACACCGUAGAAGCACAUGCUUCAUCGGUCAAAGAUUUAUCGGUCAGGGAUGGGCCUGCGUCUGAUUAACUAGUUGGUGAGGUAACGGCUCACCAAGGUGACGAUCAGUAGCCGACCUGAGAGGGUGAUCGGCCACAUUGGAACUGAGACACGGUCCAAACUUCUACGGAAGGCAGCAGUAGGGAAUCUUGCACAAUGGGCGAAAGCCUGAUGCAGCAACGCCGCGUGAAGGAUGAAGGCCUUCGGGUUGUAAACUUCUGUUCUAAGGGAAGAAACAAAUGACGGUACCUUAGGAGCAAGCCCCGGCUAACUACGUGCCAGCAGCCGCGGUAAUACGUAGGGGGCAAGCGUUAUCCGGAAUUAUUGGGCGUAAAGAGUGCGUAGGUGGUUACCUAAGCGCAAGGUUUAAUUUAGAGGCUCAACCUCUACUUGCCUUGCGAACUGGGCUACUUGAGUGCAGGAGGGGAAAGCGGAAUUCCUAGUGUAGCGGUGAAAUGCGUAGAUAUUAGGAGGAACACCAGCGGCGAAGGCGGCUUUCUGGACUGUAACUGACACUGAGGCACGAAAGCGUGGGUAGCAAACAGG
This 749-nucleotide ribosomal RNA is filed under the name uncultured Mogibacterium sp. RNAcentral's name for it is "bacterial SSU rRNA". It matches the Rfam family "Bacterial small subunit ribosomal RNA", at positions 28 to 776 of the family's 1533-position model. Lineage: Bacteria; Bacillati; Bacillota; Clostridia; Peptostreptococcales; Anaerovoracaceae. The record is from RNAcentral.